Molecule: long non-coding RNA, 2634 nt
Organism: Seriola aureovittata
Lineage: Eukaryota; Metazoa; Chordata; Actinopteri; Carangiformes; Carangidae
Exons: 7
Source: RefSeq, a predicted model, not a curated record
UCCCCCAAGGGAGAUCCAGCAGGUUCAGUGCACAUUUCCAUGAUAAGAGUUGAGAUGACAGCCGCGGGGACGUAAACGGCUUCUGUUUGCAGGGAAACAUCAAUCAUGCACAAUAGCCGCCUCCCAGGUGGCAGUGACCUCUGGUGACCCCACAGCUCCUCCACACUUCCUCCUGGACACUUCCUGUGUGUGUGUGUAUUUGUACAUGUGGUAUUUACACUGAGAAGCAUAAGCCUGACUGCUGCCCCCAGACACAGGCUCAGGUCCAGGAUAUUUUUGUUAGUUUUAUCUACAUGGCCAGAUUUACUCCUGGCAUUAGAAUACCGACACUGACAAAAGAUGCAACUAGAUUUUGUCUCGAUAGAAAUCCAAGAGCAGAAAAUUACUUCCAGCCACGGGCUGAAUGCUGGUAAAUUCUCUCAGUGACUGUGGCAGAUAAUCAACCAAGCUUUUAUUAUGGAAUUGGCCCCAAAAAUCAGCAGGAGCUCUGCCAAAAUAAGGCUUUUUUUUCUAAGCGAAGACACUUUGAGGCUCAGUAAAGAAAAUAAUUGGAAGUGUGGCAGUUAACAUUAUGAAGCAUGAAGCUUGCAGUAAAGUAAAACCUGAGUGAGUGGAUUGUAGUUCUGCUUAUAGUUUAUUUCUAUUGCAGGGACUUUUCCAGGGGCCCAGCGGCCAUUCUUCAGUCCUCACUCUGCAGGAAACAGGAAGCAGGCAAAAACAAUCACAAUCAUUCAAAGUCACACUUUUGUGUGUUUUUUUUUUUUUUUUUUUAAGUACAAUACAUGCAAGCACAGAUGUACUGUUCGGACGUAGGUGCUCAACCAGACGGCCCAUCAUACCAGAGGGUCUUUGUUUAUGAAAAAAAAAAAGAGGUAUACUCCUGAGAUCCUUUACUUAAGUAAAAGUAACAAUACAAUGAUAUAAAGAUUCUAAUAUAAUAUAUACAUCCAUGGGUACAAGUUGGACAAUGGAACAAACUGACGCUGAAUAAUUACGUUUACUUCAUGCAUGGACCAAAAGCAGCUGCAGACGUAUGUAAACCGGGCGAUUGCGCGUUAAGCCGUGCGCGCUCCCGCGGAUGGCACAUUUGGGCAGAGUAUCACUUUUUGGCACGACACCGCCCGGCUCUCGACUUCCCUGUUCAGUUUUCCUUUUGCACAAGUCGGAUGCGCUUUGGUGCACGUCUUCAUUCAAUGGGACAAGCGUUAGAGCUUUAAGGCAGCAUCGGCUAAUGAACAAACGACAACAUACAUUUAGCACAAGUAGGACGAUGAAAUUAGGCAAUACCCCCUAAGCUGGCAUUUUUCAUACAACGUAAACAACUGCAAAACAAUUAUACUUCAUGCACGGACCAUAUUAUUCGGUUGUUCAAUUUGUAACAUAGUUUAUAUGAGAUUAAAGGUAUUGUAUGGCAAGUAGCCUGCACGGGACAGCCUCAGGUGACUAGUGGAGUAUAAAGCACAAUAUUACAGUACAUGUAGCCUGUUUACAGUAAUUACAGUUCAGCAAUACCUUAUGUACAUUUCGAUUAAUAUAUCCCUAAUCAAUAAAAAUUCGUUUGCAGGAGAAUUGGGAGUCCUGGGCGUUUUAUUGAUUAUUAGCUAACAGUUUUUUCUUUUUUUUCUUCCAGUGUUUUGAUUUGGCUGACCGCCAUCUUGGCAAUUGGGGAUAUUGGGCUAAAAUUAGAAAACGUAGUAAAGGAAAGGCAGAAGAAUGAUACAAGAAGAUGUUUUAUAAAGUGGAUUAAAGAAAAAACAGACGGUGGAAGUUAAACUAACUCUCGUUUCAACGAGUGAAAGCGGCGAAUUAACGAGCUAACGUUAGGCCCCAGCUAGCCGUUAGCUUUGCUAGCUUCGUUAGCGGAAGAUACUAACACUGAAGUGACGAGGAGCUGGAUUUUAAGGAUUAAUCGAUCUGCUUUGCCGAAAACCAGGACGAACAAACUCCCCAAGAAGCAGAUCUGACUCAAGGUAAUUACAGGGCUGCAAUGGAACAAAACAACAGAGAAGGUUGCUGCAGAGUUCACCCCCCCCGCCUUUGAUCUAAAAACUACAGCAGAAGGGAAAGAGCAGUGACCAAGGAGGCCGGCGUGUGACGUGGCGUGUGACGUGGCGGGACAGGGGACAGCGCUCAGUGUGGUGUGGACACAGACGUAGAGCUAACCAGCCAUGGGACGCUCCUCUCAGACUCUCCUGACAUCUCACGUCUGACUCCAGUCCAGAUGACGUCUCAGGUCUACAACUCUUGUGGUGGUGGUGAUUGUCGCUUCAGCCAUCGUUGUCUUCAUAAGAGGUUAUAAAUCCCCCUCUGAGCAGCUAACUCAUUAGCAUGCUAACUUCAGUAGAAGAAGUAAAGCAGGAGUCUGAAGGGCGGAGCGACACCUAGAUCACCUGGGCCAACUGCUUCUGCCCUAUAAGAAGUAACCUCUCCAGGCUGUCAUUGGACGCUCUCUCGGCUCCUCAACAUAUUGUACUUUUGUGUUCAUGCAGACAACAGCUCACACUUCAUACAUCCCACUCAUGCACACAUGCACCCACGCCACUGAUCAUACUGAUGUCCAAACCUCACGGCUAACCUUAGUUCUUUUGUGUUACGUCAAUUUCGUUGUUAAUAAAUUUAUUAUUGUUUGCACAA